CUGAGAGAAGAAAAAAGCACAGUUUACACGCGUAGCAGCUCUCGAGCUUUUCCCUCGCUCCCGUCUCCCUGCGCUCUUCGCCGCCGCCAUGGAGGACGAUGAUGACUGCCCUCCUCUCGCCGUCGAGCUGCCGCCGCAGGUGCCGUCCCCUCCGGCGCAAGCUCCCUCGGACGCCUCGCCAGUUGGCGUCACCGUCAUCACUGGCUACCUCGGGGCCGGCAAGUCGACGUUAGUCAAUUACAUUUUGAAUGAGCAACAUGGGAAGAGAAUUGCCGUGAUACUAAAUGAGUUCGGGGAGGAAAUUGGGGUUGAGAGGGCGAUGAUCAACGAGGGGCAAGGUGGUGCACUUGUCGAGGAAUGGGUGGAACUGGCCAAUGGAUGUGUCUGUUGCUCUGUAAAACACAGUCUGGUUCAAGCACUUGAGCAGCUUGUGCAAAGAAAGGAUAGAAUGGAUCAUAUAUUACUUGAGACAACAGGAUUGGCCGAUCCUGCUCCACUUGUUUCCGUUCUUUGGCUAGAUGAUCAAUUGGAGUCAUCAAUUAGACUGGAUUCUAUUAUUACGGUUAUUGAUGCAAAAAACUUCAGGGUUCAGAUUGAUGAGCACAAAAACUCUUCCUCAUUCCCUGAAGCAUUUCAUCAAAUUGCAUUUGCGGAUGUUGUGAUAUUGAACAAAAUUGACCUAGUGGAAGACAAUCUUGAGGAUUUGGAAAAACAUAUUCAUGAUGUGAAUGCUCUGGUUACAGUGGUGCGGUCUGUCCGUUGCCAGGUUGACUUGAAUGAAGUAUUUAACCGGCAAGCAUAUGGUGUGAAGGAUUCAUCUCAUCUGCAAGAACUGCUCGACUAUAGUAAAUCAGUGCCACCUAGUCGCCGUCAUGAUAACAAUAUUUCCACCUUGUGCAUCUAUGAGCAGGAUUCUGUUAACUUGGCUAAGGUGGAGUCUUGGCUUGAAGAUCUUCUUUGGGAAAAGAAAUCUAGCAUGGACAUAUAUCGCUGUAAAGGGAUUUUAUAUAUCCAUGAUUCAGACCAAGUUCAUACACUACAGGCAGUGAGGGAAGUUUAUGAAGUUGUGCCGGCUCGAAAAUGGUCUGAGACAGAGUCUCGCAUGAACAAGAUAGUUGUCAUAGGCCGCAAUUUGGACAUCAAUGUUCUUCAAGAUUCUUUUAGUGUCUGCAAGAGCUGAUUAUGAGUAUCUGUUUGCCUUGCACAAUGUUAGUUGCCCAUGUUUCUGUGAGGUACCUCUGUGCAAGUGAAUACUGAACUGGAGGAGAAUCUUCAGAUAUCAGGUGCUCCAUAUAUAUACUUCGUUAGUGGAGAAACUUUAGUAGGGCUAGCAGCUCACUAUGCCAUGAGUAAGGGGUAGCCAUACAGGUCAACUGGUUUCAUGGCUGUAUUAUCAUGUCAAGUGCUUUUCCGACGCACCAUGGUAAAAUUUUUCUGCAGAGCUUGUUUCUUCGGUUUUGUCGAAGAGGCAUCUGUCCAAUUACGGGACGUUCUCCGGUGAAGUAUUCCAGUUUUGCUUGUAUGAUCAGAAAGACGAUCACCUUUUUUUACAUGAAAUAGAAACUGCGAUGCGUUAGGCGAAUUUUGCUCGGUGAA
RNA transcript from Sorghum bicolor (sorghum), 1596 nucleotides. It is a transcript of the gene named COBW domain-containing protein 1, with no coding region annotated. The transcript has 10 exons. Lineage: Eukaryota; Viridiplantae; Streptophyta; Magnoliopsida; Poales; Poaceae. The record is from RefSeq and is a predicted model, not a curated record.